AGAGCGAACGCUGGCGGCAGGCCUAACACAUGCAAGUCGAGCGCCUGUAGCAAUACGGGAGCGGCAGACGGGAUAGUAACACGUGGGAACGCGCCCUUCGGUUCGGAAUAACUCAGGGAAACUUGAGCUAAUACCGGAUACGCCCUUACGGGGAAAGAUUUAUUGCCGAAGGAACGGCCCGCGUCCGAUUAGCUAGUUGGUGAGGUAAUGGCUCACCAAGGCUCCGAUCGGUAGCUGGUCUGAGAGGAUGACCAGCAUCACUGGGACUGAGACACGGCCCAGACUCCUACGGGAGGCAGCAGUGGGGAAUAUUGGACAAUGGGCGCAAGCCUGAUCCAGCCAUGCCGCGUGGAUGAUGAAGGCCUUAGGGUUGUAAAGUCCUUUAACGGGGAAGAUAAUGACGGUACCCGUAGAAUAAGCCCCGGCUAACUUCGUGCCAGCAGCCGC
RNAcentral lists this ribosomal RNA (447 nucleotides) under uncultured bacterium. RNAcentral's name for it is "SSU rRNA". It matches the Rfam family "Bacterial small subunit ribosomal RNA", at positions 26 to 518 of the family's 1533-position model. The record is from RNAcentral.